RNAcentral lists this ribosomal RNA (225 nucleotides) under Triticum aestivum (bread wheat). RNAcentral describes it as "partial small subunit ribosomal RNA". Lineage: Eukaryota; Viridiplantae; Streptophyta; Magnoliopsida; Poales; Poaceae. The record is from RNAcentral.
AUGGUCAUGCUAUUGACCAAGGCCAGAGAGAUAUCUGUCUCUCUGCUGGAGUCCACACUCCAUCUCUUGUCGAAGCAAAUUGAAAUGCCUAAACAGUCUCUUGUUUCCAAGGCAUUUCACAAAAAGAAGGCAGUUGUAUGCAAGGAGGAGCAAUUGCAGGAGCUAGGGUGCAGUACCGGAGAUCUUGAGAGUGGAGCAGGACAUCUGUUCAGGAAAUUACUCUAG